Molecule: transfer RNA, 75 nt
Filed under: Azorhizobium caulinodans
Lineage: Bacteria; Pseudomonadati; Pseudomonadota; Alphaproteobacteria; Hyphomicrobiales; Xanthobacteraceae
Also listed under: 1707 other names
Description: tRNA-Thr
Rfam family: tRNA
About the family: Transfer RNA (tRNA) molecules are approximately 80 nucleotides in length. Their secondary structure includes four short double-helical elements and three loops (D, anti-codon, and T loops). Further hydrogen bonds mediate the characteristic L-shaped molecular structure. tRNAs have two regions of fundamental functional importance: the anti-codon, which is responsible for specific mRNA codon recognition, and the 3' end, to which the tRNAs corresponding amino acid is attached (by aminoacyl-tRNA synthetases). tRNAs cope with the degeneracy of the genetic code in two manners: having more than one tRNA (with a specific anti-codon) for a particular amino acid; and 'wobble' base-pairing, i.e. permitting non-standard base-pairing at the 3rd anti-codon position.
Source: RNAcentral
GCUGCGGUAGCUCAGUGGUAGAGCACUCCCUUGGUAAGGGAGAGGUCGAGAGUUCAAUCCUCUCUCGCAGCACCA